Dipodomys ordii (Ord's kangaroo rat) is the source of this 936-nucleotide non-coding RNA. Lineage: Eukaryota; Metazoa; Chordata; Mammalia; Rodentia; Heteromyidae. The record is from the annotation of a RefSeq genome assembly.
UAGAGAACAUAUUUUCCUAACACUAUAAGGAAUGUCUCCAGGCUUAAUGACAGUAAUAUUCUUAAUAGUUGGAAGGACUUGUGGAAUAUCGGUGACCCAGAAGGAAAGCCGCAUAUCUGUGUUGGAAGGGGCUUCCAUGACCAUAGACUGCACUUACACAGCAACAGGGUACACUUAUCUCUUCUGGUAUGUCCAGUAUCCUGGAGAUGGUCUCCAGCUUCUCCUGAAAGCCAUCACAGCCAAUGAGAAGGGAAGCUAUAAAGGAUUUGAAGCCAGAUAUGACAGAGAAAACACUUCCUUCCACUUGAAGAAAGCUGCAGUCCUAGAGUCAGACUCGGCUGUGUACUACUGUGCUGUGAGUGACACAAUGGCAGAAACCACAGGGGGAGCUGAGCACAAACUGAGGGACAGCAGAGGUCUGGCAGCUGAACAUCUGCCUUUAAGAUUAUUGUGGUUUCAGCACAGUCUUAGGUGUGUGCCUUCACUUACCUCCUGAUCCAAAAUUCCACAAAUGUCAGAGGAAACAGGAAAUGGACAUCACCAUACUUAGCUGUUCAGUAGUGAACUGAAGAAGACUGGUCUGAUGGAGAGAAAGAUGUGGAAGCUUUUAGGAGUCUCAUUCAUCCUAUCCUGUGUCAGCUGUGCUGUGAGAAGGUGGCGUUGCAGAAGUCAAUAAAACAAGCAGAUUAUGGUAACCUUCUCUAUAUUGUGGAAUUUCACAUUGGAUGGUGGGGCUAUUGUGCUCAUUUUGAGAUACUAUCCAAAAAGAACAUGUCAAAAGGAACCUAAUGCUUCUCCUCUGUGUGAUUUCCAUCUAAAUGGGGUGGGCAGCUGUGUAUGUUCAGCAGAGCCCUAUGUUCAUGAGGACCCAGGAAAGAAUGCCUGCCAUUCUCAAAAGCACUUCUCAAGACAGAACAGCCUUCAACUGCCAUUAAU